GAAGAUGGGAGCAAGAUUGGUGCUGGGUGGAAUAGAAUAUAUGGAUCCAUGUUUGGUAUUGGGGAGGUUCAUGUUUUUAUGGUGAGGUGCCCCUGCUAUUGACAAAUGGAUAAGUUAUUUUGGAACUAGUUUGGACCAUAAUAGUAAGAGAUAUCAGAUGCUGCUUUGGCAAUUUAGUGUAAAGUUUAAAAUGUAUCUACAACGGACUUAUGAUUUUGAGUUAGGUUUCUUGCUAUAAACCAUCCAGGAAAAACAUAAAGCAAGCAAUGGAGUUUAAGUUACAUGUCCAAAAUUUUUCAGGGGAAGCUAGUAUUUUUUUGAAAUAAUCCAAAAUCC
RNAcentral lists this long non-coding RNA (336 nucleotides) under Phoenix dactylifera (date palm). RNAcentral describes it as "long non-coding RNA (PDAC_LNC000282)". Lineage: Eukaryota; Viridiplantae; Streptophyta; Magnoliopsida; Arecales; Arecaceae. The record is from RNAcentral.